AGAAGACAGCAAGAAGUUCCAGACUUCGUGGCCCGUUUUCAAGCCCUUCCCGGCCUCCGUUGGUGUCGCCACUUCAGGGUUUAUCGACCGCCUUGGCGUCGUGGUCGCCGUGAACUCACCGGCGCGCAAAACCGGUCCCUAGAUGGCGGAUCCUCCGGAGCUUUUUGGUAGACCAGUGAGGGUCGCUGAGAGGAUUUUCGACUUCGCCGAUCCCGACUGAAGAGCUGGCGAAUGGACCUGUCUAGCUGAUCUUAGGACGGCCUAGUUUUUUAGGACUGAUCUUCUAUAGAUCUUUUGUAAAUAGCCUAGUCCUGUAAAUGAACUGGUUUGAUAUGUAUAAAAAGUAUGUGGUUGGUUUUAAAAAUGUGAUCCUGCUUUUCUA
Molecule: long non-coding RNA, 382 nt
Organism: Eucalyptus grandis
Lineage: Eukaryota; Viridiplantae; Streptophyta; Magnoliopsida; Myrtales; Myrtaceae
Exons: 2
Source: RefSeq, a predicted model, not a curated record